GGUGGAUUAGUGGCGAACGGGUGAGUAMCACGUGGGCAAUCUGCCCUGCACUCUGGGACAAGCCCUGGAAACGGGGUCUAAUACCGGAUAUCACUCUUGCAGGCAUCUGUGAGGGUCGAAAGCUCCGGCGGUGCAGGAUGAGCCCGCGGCCUAUCAGCUUGUUGGUGAGGUAAUGGCUCACCAAGGCGACGACGGGUAGCCGGCCUGAGAGGGCGACCGGCCAMACUGGGACUGAGACACGGCCCAGACUMMUACGGGAGGCAGCAGUGGGGAAUAUUGCACAAUGGGCGAAAGCCUGAUGCAGCGACGCCGCGUGAGGGAUGACGGCCUUCGGGUUGUAAACCUCUUUCAGCAGGGAAGAAGCGAAAGUGACGGUACCUGCAGAAGAAGCGCCGGCUAACUACGUGCCAGCAGCCGCGGUAAUACGUAGGGCGCAAGCGUUGUCCGGAAUUAUUGGGCGUAAAGAGCUCGUAGGCGGCUUGUCACGUCGGGUGUGAAAGCCCGGGGCUUAACCCCGGGUCUGCAUUCGAUACGGGCUAGCUAGAGUGUGGUAGGGGAGAUCGGAAUUCCUGGUGUAGCGGUGAAAUGCGCAGAUAUCAGGAGGAACACCGGUGGCGAAGGCGGAUCUCUGGGCCAUUACUGACGCUGAGGAGCGAAAGCGUGGGGAGCGAACAGGAUUAGAUACCCUGGUAGUCCACGCCGUAAACGGUGGGAACUAGGUGUUGGCGACAUUCCACGUCGUCGGUGCCGCAGCUAACGCAUUAAGUUCCCCGCCUGGGGAGUACGGCCGCAAGGCUAAAACUCAAAGGAAUUGACGGGGGCCCGCA
This 827-nucleotide ribosomal RNA is filed under the name Streptomyces griseoruber. RNAcentral describes it as "bacterial SSU rRNA". It matches the Rfam family "Bacterial small subunit ribosomal RNA", at positions 86 to 925 of the family's 1533-position model. The record is from RNAcentral. Lineage: Bacteria; Bacillati; Actinomycetota; Actinomycetes; Kitasatosporales; Streptomycetaceae.